This 253-nucleotide ribosomal RNA is filed under the name uncultured Eubacteriales bacterium. RNAcentral describes it as "uncultured Clostridiales bacterium partial 16S ribosomal RNA". It matches the Rfam family "Bacterial small subunit ribosomal RNA", at positions 524 to 776 of the family's 1533-position model. The record is from RNAcentral. Lineage: Bacteria; Bacillati; Bacillota; Clostridia; Eubacteriales.
UACGUAGGGGGCAAGCGUUAUCCGGAUUUACUGGGUGUAAAGGGAGCGUAGACGGCAGCGCAAGUCUGGAGUGAAAUCCCAUGGCUUAACCAUGGAACUGCUUUGGAAACUGCCAUGCUAGAGUGCUGGAGAGGUAAGUGGAAUUCCUAGUGUAGCGGUGAAAUGCGUAGAUAUUAGGAGGAACACCAGUGGCGAAGGCGGCUUACUGGACAGUAACUGACGUUGAGGCUCGAAAGCGUGGGGAGCAAACAGG